This is a non-coding RNA of Momordica charantia (bitter melon), 350 nucleotides long. NCBI's taxonomy places the organism in Eukaryota, Viridiplantae, Streptophyta, Magnoliopsida, Cucurbitales, Cucurbitaceae. The record is from RefSeq and is a predicted model, not a curated record.
AAGAAAGAACAGGGAAGGGGAAGAAAUCGAAUGUGUUCGGCUAAGAAGGAAGGUCGAGCAUAAAUUGGAGCAAAGGACAACCGAGUUUAAAGGAUUUGUUGAGAAGUUGGCGUAACUAGGUCGCAAGGGACGCAAGGGAAUGCUGGGGCUAUAAGAGCCAAAUCCAGAUUCCGAAUCCUGGCUGUACCUGAGUAUCUGAGUUUAUGAGUUUUAAGAAGAAUUUAGUUCAGCUUCUGCCACUCAGGAUAGUUCAAGAGUUGCAUAUCACUUUGUAUGUAAUUUUGUUGGUUUGUAAGAAAUUUUAUCUGCACCAUAUUGAUAGAAAAAGAAUGUAUAGAAGGGAUGUAAGA